Molecule: long non-coding RNA, 219 nt
Filed under: Physcomitrium patens
Lineage: Eukaryota; Viridiplantae; Streptophyta; Bryopsida; Funariales; Funariaceae
Description: long non-coding RNA (PPAT_LNC001978)
Source: RNAcentral
AGAAUAAUGCAAUAUUAAUUAAACUUAACAAUAUGUCAAGGACAUGAAUCUUGAAGAACCAAAAGAUCAAGUCAUUCUUGUAUUAUUCAAUAAGACUAAAUAAUCACUCAAAGAUGGUAUAAUAUUAAACUUGAAUGACUAUUGCCAAAGACCAAAAAACUACAAGGUCUUGAAAUAAGAUUAAAGACUAAAAAAGCAUUGACAAGAGUGAAGGUUUUA